UGGGGAAUAUUGCACAAUGGGCGAAAGCCUGAUGCAGCAACGCCGCGUGCGGGAUGACGGCCUUCGGGUUGUAAACCGCUUUCAGCAGGGACGAAGGUUUUCUGACGGUACCUGCAGAAGAAGCACCGGCUAACUACGUGCCAGCAGCCGCGGUGAUACGUAGGGUGCGAGCGUUGUCCGGAAUUAUUGGGCGUAAAGAGCUUGUAGGCGGUCCGUUGCGUCGGAAGUGAAAACUCAGGGCUUAACCCUGAGCCUGCUUUCGAUACGGGCGGACUUGAGGGAUGUAGGGAGAACGGAAUUCCUGGUGGAGUGGUGGAAUGCGCAGAUAUCAGGAGGAACACCAGUGGCGAAGGCGGUUCUCUGGACAUUUCCUGACGCUGAGAAGCGAAAGCNUGGGGAGCAAACAGGCUUANAUACCCUGGUAGUCCACGCCGUAAACGGUGGGCACUAGGUGUGGGACCCAUUUCCACGGGUU
This 475-nucleotide ribosomal RNA is filed under the name uncultured bacterium. RNAcentral describes it as "partial 16S ribosomal RNA". It matches the Rfam family "Bacterial small subunit ribosomal RNA", at positions 355 to 840 of the family's 1533-position model. The record is from RNAcentral.